UCAUGCUCACGAGGCCCUGUUUUUUCUGAAUCAUCUUCUGUCUCUGCUGACACCUUUGAGCUUAUUACAUUUCUCACAAUAUUUCCCACAUGGCACCCACUCCGCUCUCUUUCCCCAUUCUCCAGCUACCUCAGAUAGGAAAAUUGACGUGAUUUUUAUUAGGCUUACUCAUGCCUAGAGGUUUGCACUGAGUAUCAGCCUUAGACAAUUAUAAGCCUUUUUUCUCUUUUUAAUUUUGCUGCUUCAGAAACCCCCCUUGGCAGGAUGGUGGUGGAAAGGAAAUCAAAAGCAGGCUUAAGGUUUAACUUCUACAAGAAGCUAGUCUGCAAGACAAAGCAACUGCCUGGAAGCCAUCAAUAAAGUCCCAGAUUUCCUGGCCAUUAGGAUGCCAAAAAUAUUUGAGCCCUUGGGCAUGGAAUCCCCAGACUUCAGAAGGUUUCACCUAAUACCACUGGCUUUUUUAAAUGGUUGCACUUUAAUUUCAGUUUAUUGUUGUAAUAAAAUUGCAUCCCUCUCAUGUGAAAUACAAGAUGUAAAUAGAAAGAAAUGGAUAACUAAUUGCUCUGUAAAUUUGGUAGUACAAUAUAAUACCAAAAGUUGUGUGUGGGUGUGUGUGUGGGGGGGGGGGGUGUUGUCAUGACAAUGCUUUCAAAUCACAAAGUGGUAGUUGUAUUGUACUGACAUUCACCAAUGCCCCCACCUUCCUAUAAUGGAGCUUGAAAUAAACAAGAAUCUUGGUAGGGAUACCAAGAUGCUGGUUUAUAAAGCUAUUGUCCUUCCAACUCUAUUGUAUGCCUGCAAAACAAUCUACAAACAGCACUCUUUACUUCUGGAGAGAUCCAAUCAGAGUUGCUUCUGAAAAAUCCUGCAAAUUUCUUGGAAAAACAGGCAGACAAAUGUCAGCGUUCUGGAAAAAGCGAAGGCCAUCACCACUGAAGCAGUGAUCCUUCACAAUCAACUUCACUGGACUGGCCAUGUUGUCAAGGAUGGAAAACAGAAUGUAGGUGGACAUGAAGAUGGGUUUAAUGCUAACCUUAAAAACUGUGGCAUAGACACGGAGAAUUGGGAAGCCUUGACCCUUGAGAAUUGUAACUGGAGGUCAGCUGUUACCAACAGUGGAUUUUGAAGAGGCACAAAUACAUGGGAGAUACAUGCAAGAGGAAGGAGCACCAAGCCAACCCUUGUUGAGGCCACCUUCCAUCUGGAAAUGUAUGACCUCACUGCAAAAUACCAUGCAGAUCCAGAAUAGGUCUCUACAGUCACUUAUGGAUCCACCGCCAAAACUCUACCCUUGGAAGACAAUCACACUCAGCCAGAAAUGAUCGCCUGUGAUAAGGAAGGCUUUUUAAAAAGUCAUUUAGCAUUUUGCUCUGAUAAUGGUAAAUUCUCUGCUUCCAAUUUCAGGCCAGCUCCCUGAAGCAACAAUCUAUGAUUUCUACUGCCAGCAGUUCCACACAUUCAGUUACCAACUCUGCUUAAUACAAUGUAAUUAAAUACAGUAUGACCCCCUUA
Long non-coding RNA from Anolis carolinensis (green anole), 1512 nucleotides. RefSeq lists it as uncharacterized. The record is from RefSeq and is a predicted model, not a curated record. Lineage: Eukaryota; Metazoa; Chordata; Lepidosauria; Squamata; Anolidae. The transcript is spliced from 2 exons.